CGGAGGAUCCAAGCGUUAUCCGGAAUCAUUGGGUUUAAAGGGUCCGUAGGCGGUUUAGUAAGUCAGUGGUGAAAGCCCAUCGCUCAACGGUGGAACGGCCAUUGAUACUGCUAAACUUGAAUUAUUAGGAAGUAACUAGAAUAUGUAGUGUAGCGGUGAAAUGCUUAGAGAUUACAUGGAAUACCAAUUGCGAAGGCAGGUUACUACUAAUGGAUUGACGCUGAUGGACGAAAGCGUGGGUAGCGAACAGGAUUAGAUACCCUGGUAGUCCACGCCGUAAACGAUGGAUACUAGCUGUUGGGGGCAACUUCAGUGGCUAAGCGAAAGUGAUAAGUAUCCACCUGGGGAGUACGUUCGCAAGAAUG
RNAcentral lists this ribosomal RNA (365 nucleotides) under uncultured organism. RNAcentral's name for it is "bacterial SSU rRNA". It matches the Rfam family "Bacterial small subunit ribosomal RNA", at positions 526 to 896 of the family's 1533-position model. The record is from RNAcentral.